RNAcentral lists this ribosomal RNA (478 nucleotides) under uncultured bacterium. RNAcentral describes it as "partial 16S ribosomal RNA". It matches the Rfam family "Bacterial small subunit ribosomal RNA", at positions 28 to 523 of the family's 1533-position model. The record is from RNAcentral.
GACGAACGCUGGCGGCGUGCUUAACACAUGCAAGUCGAACGGUAAGGCCCUUCGGGGUACGCGAGUGGCGAACGGGUGAGUAACACGUGGGUGAUCUGCCCUGCACUUCGGGAUAAGCCUGGGAAACUGGGUCUAAUACCGGAUAGGACCCUGGGAUGCAUGUCCUGGGGUGGAAAGCUUUUGCGGUGUGGGAUGGGCCCGCGGCCUAUCAGCUUGUUGGUGGGGGGAUGGCCUAACAAGGCGACGACGGGUAGCCGGCCUGAGAGGGUGACCGGCCACACUGGGACUGAGAUACGGCCCAGACUCCUACGGGAGGCAGCAGUGGGGAAUAUUGCACAAUGGGCGCAAGCCUGAUGCAGCGACGCCGCGUGAGGGAUGACGGCCUUCGGGUUGUAAACCUCUUUCAGCACCGACGAAGCGCAAGUGACGGUAGGUGCAGAAGAAGGACCGGCCAACUACGUGCCAGCAGCCGCCGUAA